UCCUUCGCGAAGACGGCGAAAGUGAAUUCGCAUCUGUCUCGGAUGGCGGGUCGCGCAGCCGUGAGCCGCGUCCGUGCGGCGUGCCUCCGCCACAAUCAUGUGAGCAGUGAGCGGGUUAACCGCGCAACUUUACAUUCACUAUCCGCCACCGUGCACCGACGCGACGACGGCGCGGCGCGGUGCGUGCGGAUUCGCGGCCCGCCAACGUGCGAUAAUGAAAUGCCAGGCGACGCCGGCCUCUUCCGCGUCAAGAGCGAGCCACUGUCCGAGGAAGACGACAGCAACUCCUUCGUCCACAGCUAUCUGGUCAAUCAGCUUCCUUCGGAGGAUUUACGUGCGAAGUUGGGCACUGAAUACUUGCGGAGUGAUAAUGUACCGACGCAUCUACUGCACCAUAUACACGGCUCCGGGCUGGAGGAGCUGGCACCGCUGGCGCCGGCGGGGCCCGCCGCGACCCCGGUGUGUGUGAAGCAAGAGCCUAGGGAGCCCACGCCGGCGCUUACGCUAGAGACUCUCGAACCUGCACCGCAUAGCGCAGAGGGAGCAGCCUUGAUAGACAGGCAUUUGGCGUUACUCAACGCUAGCGACGACCCUGAGGCCACAGAGUUCAUGCCGUUGGUAGCCGUGAAAGACGAACCGCUUUCUGAAGGAGAACAACCGCAGCUGAGCGGCGAGGAUACGAGUGACUCGAGCGGCACACAGCCCGAGUCGGCGCCGCGCUGCAGCCCCAAGACUUGGACGCAGAAGGACAUGGACAACGCGCUGGAGGCGCUUCGAAACACAACAUGAGCCUCACUAAGGCCUCAGCAACAUACGGCAUACCAUCAACGACUCUAUGGCAGCGAGCCCACCGGCUGGGGAUCGACACGCCGAAGAAGGAAGGUGCGGCGAAGUCGUGGAGCGACGCCGAUCUGCGCGGUGCGCUGCAGGCGCUGCGGGCCGGCGCCAUCUCCGCCAACAAGGCCAGCAAAGCUUACGGCAUCCCCUCGAGCACGCUGUACAAGAUAGCGCGGCGGGAGGGCAUCCGGCUAGCAGCGCCGUUCAACGCCGCGCCCACCGCCUGGCGCCGCGCCGACCUGCGCCAGGCGCUCGCCUGCAUCCGCGCCGGCGCCGCCACCGUGCAGCGCGCCGCCUCCGCAUACGGCAUACCCACCGGCACGCUAUACGGUCGCUGCAAGCGGGAGGGCAUCGAGUUGUCCCGCUCCAACCCCACGCCGUGGUCUGAGAACGCGAUGGUGGAAGCUCUGGAGGCAGUCAGAGUGGGCCAGAUGUCGAUCAACCAAGCAGCGAUACACUACAACUUGCCCUACUCCUCACUCUACGGCAGGUUCAAGAGAUGCAAGUAUCAAAAUCAGUUACAGGUAGCACAGCAACCUCAACCACAAGACACGCAAAAGCCUCAAGAAGUUGACCAAAACCAACAGUUCUACUACCAACAGCUGCCGUCUACCGUCCAUCAUCCGUCUGACGACGGCAUCCCCGCGUACAGCCAAUACCCUCACACGUCGCAAGACUACUCGGAACAUUACUACAACUUCAGUAGUAUAGUCACGAGCUGAUGUUACGACAACGCCUCGGAAGACGGGGCAUCUUGAUUCAAAUGUCGAAUAGUAACUUUUUAAAUUCCAGGACAUGCCUAAGGAACUUGCCCUGCGGUCUAAAGUUCUUGUAAUUGUAAGAAAUGAAUAAGAGAUGGCGCUGCAAUUUAGUAUUUGUAGUUAUAUUAUUUUUUUUAAUUCGGUUUUUAUGUAUAGAGCGAAUUCUAACGAUGCAGCCGGUUGCACAAUUGUACUAUUUGCUAAAAUAAAUGAUUAUAAUUAAUAGGAAGUAAAAUUGUGAAUGUUGCCAGAGGUGAUUUUAAGCCUGAUUUGAUUUUAAACGGUAAGCCUGGUUGUUGAAUUAAAUUCCAUUUUUCUUGUGAAGACAACAUACAUUUUGCAAAAUAUGAAGAUGAGUAUUUAUCGCUCCGUAUAUUGUGCAAUAAGUACUCUAGACAGUGCAAUACAUUGAGCUAAUUUUAAUAUUCACUUUGUGAAUAUUUUUUUAUCCAUCUUUUUAAAAUUUUAAUGUAAAAUAUGAUAUUUGGUUCAUAACGUAAAUGUAAAAUUGAUAAGACUUUUUAGAGGCAUUUAUCAAGUAGUGUUUUUGAUUUGAAUAUGAAUAUUAGAAACAUGAAAUACGUAACAUAAAGGACUAUACUACUAAAGGACAAGUGUAGAUAUUACCCACAGUAUUAUGUAAGAUCUAAAUUUAUGUUAGUACAUGAGGAAAGAAUUUUAAAGCUCUCGAAAAUAUUAUAUAUGCGAAAGCGAUUUGAAUUCUGCGACAUCGUAUUGUGAUCUAUUUAAUAAUGUAGUUGUAAUGUACUUAUAUUGCGUGGAAUGAAAAAUGUAACCACCAUAUUCGGGACAUUAUAAAAUUCGAACCAUUGCAUAAUAUUUUAAUCAGUAUUAAGUACUUAUAGUCUGUUCAAUAAAUUUGAUAAGUUCGAUGUAAGGUAGUUCUGCUAGAUUGUUUCGACAAUACUGCCAUAUUAUUGUAAGCUUUAGGUCCUGUUUCACAACUUCUAAGUAAAAGCUUGUAUACACAAUUCGUCACAUGAAUGUAAAAGCCAACCAAAUACAAUAGUCGUACUCAAAUCUACACUUCCAAAUAAAAGGUACUAAAAUGAGUACUAUUUACAUUAGCUGUUUUAUACGGAAAAUUACUUGAAACUUGUGAAACAAGCCCUAAAUAUAAUAAAUUUAAAAUAUUGUAUUGUAAGACUCCAUGGCGAUACGCCUGUCGAAUAUGUAGUGAAAACAUGUGUAAAGUUGUGUGAUUUCCAAAAAAAUAUUUUGGAUUUGGAUUUAGGGAGAUCGUGAAUUCUUUUGAUUUAUUCCUACGGCUCUUACUUAUAAUGUGAAAUAAUUGGUAUCAGUGGGCUGCGUUAUAGUAUCUUGUAAUAAUAUGAUUUUGGGGUAAAAAAUGGCAUUUAUUGAAUUCGUUUUUGUCUUCACUUAUAACGAAAUCGUUUUUAGUUUAGAACAUACAGAUAUUCGAAAAAUGAGGCAAAAAAAAAUUUAAUUUAAAAGUCCUUUUCAUAAUUCUUUUUUCGUUUAAUUUUGUCCAAAAAAAUGCGCUCCGGCAAAACUUGAGAGUGGUGAAUUUAUAAUCAGACAGCAUAAUUUUACUAAUUGCAACCACUUGUGACCUCCAUAUCGUGUUACAAGAUUGUAAAUUUUGGCCGGUCAGUUAUGUGAUAUGAGUAUCAAGUGUAUUAAUUAACUCCAAAGGUUAACAAGAAUCAUACAACAUUAAAUAUCCCAAAACUCGUAAGUUGAAGAUGGGUACAGCAAUUGAAUUAAGUACGUAAGUUGAUUUUGACACUUUUAGGGCCGGUCCUGAACUUACUCACAUUUCAUUCUAGAGUUUGCUAUCUCACCCGAUAGCAAAAGUUAUGCUAACAGUUACUGCUUUAUAAAUACCCCGUAACUUUAGUAAAUGCACCAGCUGAAGCGUUUUAUUUUUGCAU
RNAcentral lists this small RNA (3514 nucleotides) under Manduca sexta (tobacco hornworm). RNAcentral's name for it is "uncharacterized LOC115452007". The record is from RNAcentral. Lineage: Eukaryota; Metazoa; Arthropoda; Insecta; Lepidoptera; Sphingidae.